GUAGAAAUGAAGAUGUUGAAACUCUAAGACCCUUUAAUUUUGUUUUCCAGGCAACAGCAAAGCAGCACCACAGUGUCCUCUCCAUCUGUACUCAACAAAACAUUAUCCCCAUAUAGUGACUGUCCAGUCUUUCCCAACAAUGGCAACAUAUGGACAGACUCAGUACAGUGCAGGAAUACAACAGGCUGCUGCAUACACUUCCUACCCUCCUCCAGCGCAGCCCUAUGGCAUACCUUCCUACAGCAUCAAAACAGAGGACAGCUUGAGCCAUUCCCCAGGACAGAGUGGGUUUCUUAGUUAUGGAUCCAGUUUCAGUACUCCAACUGCUGGACAAGCACCAUAUACCUACCAAAUGCA
Molecule: non-coding RNA, 357 nt
Organism: Meleagris gallopavo (turkey)
Lineage: Eukaryota; Metazoa; Chordata; Aves; Galliformes; Phasianidae
Source: RefSeq, a predicted model, not a curated record